Molecule: unclassified non-coding RNA, 237 nt
Filed under: Hevea brasiliensis (rubber tree)
Lineage: Eukaryota; Viridiplantae; Streptophyta; Magnoliopsida; Malpighiales; Euphorbiaceae
Source: RNAcentral
CGAGGAGGGAGCAAAAAAAGCCGCUGAUGAGAUUUUCAAGAAACUCGCGACGAGUUCUGCUGAUGAAAACAUACAGAGCGCAUGUGGAACAGAGGAAGGGAGGCAAGGCAUGGUGGUGGAAGGGAGGCAGAGCAUUGGCAACAUACCUGACCUAAGCCCCCAGUCGUCGCUACCAGUCACCUCCAGUCUCCAUCGAGAGUCGUCUCUGCCAACCACCUCCAGUUGCCGCCUCGCUAG